This 276-nucleotide ribosomal RNA is filed under the name uncultured Prevotella sp. RNAcentral describes it as "partial 16S ribosomal RNA". It matches the Rfam family "Bacterial small subunit ribosomal RNA", at positions 355 to 628 of the family's 1533-position model. Lineage: Bacteria; Pseudomonadati; Bacteroidota; Bacteroidia; Bacteroidales; Prevotellaceae. The record is from RNAcentral.
UGAGGAAUAUUGGUCAAUGGACGGGAGUCUGAACCAGCCAAGUAGCGUGCAGGAUGACGGCCCUAUGGGUUGUAAACUGCUUUUAUAGGGGGAUAAAGUGUGCCACGUGUGGCAUAUUGCAGGUACCCUAUGAAUAAGGACCGGCUAAUUCCGUGCCAGCAGCCGCGGUAAUACGGAGGAUGCAAGCGUUAUCCGGAUUCAUUGGGUUUAAAGGGUGCGUAGGCGGCUUGGUAAGUCAGCGGUGAAAUUCCAGUGCUCAACAUUGGCCGUGCCGUU